This 73-nucleotide transfer RNA is filed under the name Perkinsus olseni. Its description in RNAcentral is "tRNA-Arg". It matches the Rfam family "tRNA". Rfam says of the family: Transfer RNA (tRNA) molecules are approximately 80 nucleotides in length. Their secondary structure includes four short double-helical elements and three loops (D, anti-codon, and T loops). Further hydrogen bonds mediate the characteristic L-shaped molecular structure. tRNAs have two regions of fundamental functional importance: the anti-codon, which is responsible for specific mRNA codon recognition, and the 3' end, to which the tRNAs corresponding amino acid is attached (by aminoacyl-tRNA synthetases). tRNAs cope with the degeneracy of the genetic code in two manners: having more than one tRNA (with a specific anti-codon) for a particular amino acid; and 'wobble' base-pairing, i.e. permitting non-standard base-pairing at the 3rd anti-codon position. Lineage: Eukaryota; Perkinsozoa; Perkinsida; Perkinsidae. The record is from RNAcentral.
GCCCUGCUGGCCCAAUGGAUAAGGCGCCACCUUCCUAAGCUGCAGACUCCGGGUUUGAUCCCCGGGUAGGGUA